CAUUACCCUGAAAUAGAAUAGUUUUCUGAAAGCAUACUGUUAGGUUUACAAUAAUUUGGAUUAUUAAGAAGUAUUAGCUUUACAGCUGAAUACAAGGCAUGACCUGUGGCCUAGCAAUGCAACUGACCACAAGGCAGAAUGAUAGCUAGGUCUUUGCUUGUGUCAAGUAAUCAUUUUAACUGCACCAAGCAUUUUCUGAGUUAAAAAGUGAAUCUGUGUCUGUGUGCUAAAAAAAAAUCAGCUACAGCAAGAAGUAAGAUAAGACAGAGAAACCAUUGUUUGAGCUUACUGGUUGUGUCCUUGAGAAGUAUCUUCUACUGUGUAAGGUUUUGCUAACAUAAUGUUACUGUUACUUAACUUUUAGCUUUUAAAAAGUGCUAGUUCAGCUUAAUAGAAAUAUGCUGUUACAAAGAUUUGUAGAGCACCUCCCCAAGUAUUGCCUUUUGUUAACCAUAUAGUCUUGCUUUGUUGUAAGAAGUAUAAAAGAUCGCCUCACCCUUGAGGGGGGGCCAUUUUGCCUUUUGCUGGCUUUAUGGUCUUUGCUCGAGCAAAUAAACAGCUGUCUUUCUUUACCCGCAUUGUCUGUCAAUCAAAUUACAGCUAGACAACGGACCUUAGGGAGGUUUCUCCCACCACAGCCACUCCAGAUUUUGAUUUGUAUUCCCUCCUGGACACAUCUCCAAGGUCCUUGCUCUUCCUGCAAAAUAUAGUGAAAUGCCAGGCUACCUUUCUCGGACUUACUCCUAUUUCCUGAGCCAUACACCUAGCUUUUUUCCUGGGCAAUCUCCUUCAACUUCUUUUUAAAAGGUUCCACUUACAACUGAUGUGUCUUUCCAGUAUUUGAGAUGGUAACAAUCCACAAAAGCUGGGACCUUAUUUUUACUCCUUUAUGAGGACAGACAAGCUGCAGCUGGAGACCAGAAGUCUGAGCUGAUAGACUGGGAGUACACGGCAGAGAGCCCAAAAGGAUGCAGCAAGUGGUGAGAGGGGAGACCCUACACUGAAGAGCAACAGUGGGAUGUUCACCGCUGUAAAAGCCUCCAUGAGGAAAGAUAGCAGCCGAUGCCAAGCUGCUUUCGGUGGUCCUUUUAAACAACUUUCAAACUAUUCGUAUUUAAGAGCGUUAAAGACACACAGACAGACACACAGACCGAUGGACUCAACCCCUUAUAUAUAUAGACUGGGUACCACUCCGCUGAGGCUUCAGGCAGCCUGUUCACUGGCAGAUUUCCAAAAUCAUGACAAUCUCCAACAAGAACAACAAAAUCCAGCUUUUUUAUUGCUGAUGUUUUCAGAAGAAGACAGAAGAUUGGAUGAUUCAUCAUUAAACAUACCUUGCAAAAUGAGAGAGCUGUAUUUCAUAUACACGUGGUGAGUGAAGAUGUCAUUUAAAUUCAAUUUUAAUUCUGUGCAAAAUAGAGUCCAGUUUUCUCUUGUUGGAUCUUUCAGUGCUACAGCAGGAACUCUAUUAAAAGACUGUUGAUGUCAAUGGAAGUCUUGCCAAUGAUUUUAACAGGCUGCAAACCAGACCUCUGAGCUCUGCAAAAUAUAGUACAUGAAUCAUAUCUUGGGAACCUUUCCAGAAAUUUCAGAGAUCUUUACCUCAAGUCCUUCAUUCAUGAGUGACUUUGAACUACUGGAAGCAGACAUCAGAGAUUUCAUGCAGGAUAAUGGAAGCCAGAGCUAAAAACUGGAUGGCUCUGUGUAACUGGAGCAACAGACCAGGCAAUUUUAAAGUUAGCAACCCAGGGCAGGGAACACUAAAUAGAGAUGUAUGUGUGCAUACAAAAGCUGUUUUAAAGGGAGUAAUAUGAACUGGAUUUAAACUUGAGAUUGUCUUUCACACAGUGCAGAAUCAAUCAAGUGGUAACAACUCCAAAUUUCUUUCAAAAACAAAAGAGAUCUUGGAGAUGGGAUGAAAAAAAAGUGCAUAGAAAAUGAAAACUUUUAAACUUGUGAAACAUGACUAGUUCCUUAUGAAACACUCUUUUAAAAGCAGUGUCAAGUAUAGGAUAAAUAUAGAUCAGUAUUUGUCUUGUGACCAUCCCUCCCAUAGUUUGUAUAUUUACAUUAUCCCAUUUCAUUAUAGUGAAUAUGAAAUGACCUCAUUCACCAGCACAUUUCUCUUCCCCCCAAAAUGUCAAAGAUAAUUAUUUGGGAAAUCCUUCAUAGGUGCAUCUACACUGAGACACUGGUGCAGGCAGCUUCCAGGGCAGGGGCGUCCAGCCCUUGCCCUAAUCUUGGAGUGGGGGUUAAGCAGCAGGCAGUUGCUUGGGGUAGGGAUGUUGGGUGUGAGGCAGCUGCUCCAGAGGCAGGACAGCUUCCCUCUCCACUCAAAGCCCAGGCAUGACUCCAGAGCCCCCUGCCAGCCUGGGGUGGCAUCUGGGGAAGCCUAGAGCUCCCUCUGGCUGCCACAUGGAAGCAGAGUAGGGCAGGAGUAGCCCUGCCCUGAACUACUGCCAUUGGCCCCAUUCACAUGAGCUUGCAUGCGUCUGUUGCAGCAUCUCAAAGGAGUUUGAGAUACCACAGAAGGCACCCUGCAAACUAGAAAAUGUUCCCUGCACUCCGUAUUUGCAGCACAGACUCUAAAUUUGAUAUCGAGGAAUCCCUGUCUAAAAAAAAAAAAAAAAACACUGGAAAAAAGUGGCACAGGGCACACUCUCAGAGCAUGGCUGGAAGCAACUGUAGGCUGGGUCCCCAAGGAGAUGCUCUAGCACCCAGCCAGAGGGUCUCUAUGGCUACUGUGUCCCUGUGCUGCUCUAGCAUACUGCCUCAGCAUGCUGGAGAAAAUAAAAGUGAGGCAUGGCUUGCAGCAUUGGCUCUGGGGCUGGCUGGGACACAGGCUCUGUCCUUCCUGUGUUGCUCCAGAGCCUGCCUGGCACUUAGGUUCUGCCCUGGACCCAGGCACAGCAGCAGGACCAGCCCAACUGUCUUGCAGCCUUGCACAGGGUCCAGCUGUGUCCGUGUCCUGGAGGCUGAGGUCACCCAGGUCUCAGCUGCAGACCGGCAACAGAGUCAGGAGGACCCAGAGGCUGUGGCAGAGACCAUGGACGAUCCUAGUAAGCAGGGAUCUGGGUUUUCUGUUUCCCAUGGAAAAAUAUGUUUUUCCCUUUUAAAGGUGGAACCACAGGUUUCCUCAUUUGCAAACAGCUCUCUGCAGGCUGGCAGAGUUCCAGCCUGCAAGAGCUACUCGCCAAUGGGAGAGAAACCCUAAGCCAGGGGCAGCCAUGGAGGCCGGCUGGCCUGAAGGCAUAAGCUCAUGUGGGUGGGUGUAGGGAGUGUGGGGGAGAGUGUAGAUGGCAGUUGGGGGGAGCCCUGUACCCCCAUGGUACAUAGCCCCAACUGCUGGUAGCAGCAGCAGCAGCCAGCAGUGGGCCCUUGGUGUGUUCAUGGCCUACUUUAGACACAACCUCCUGGUGGUGCACAGUUCUACCUAGUCCUGGAUGCUGCAUGUGGCAGCAUGGUGCCAGCCUGGCCCACUGGUGCACACCUUCAGGCAGGGCUGGGCUGCCUCCAUGCCUCCAUGUGGGGCUCCUGGCACUGCAGGUGGGAGGCGUGCACCAUUGGGCCAGAUCAGCUCCUGCCUUCAUGUGUGGCUUCCAGCACUCCAGUUAGGACCCACAUGUGGUGUCACAGAGCCCACCCAGACUGACGGCAUGCGAAAUGGAAGCUGAGGGGACUUGCAUAUCAUUGGGCCAGGUGGGCUCUGUGCUACCACAUGCAGAUCCCUGCUGGAGUGCUGGAAGCUGCACAUGGAGUCAGGGGCCAGCCUGGCCUGAUGGCAUACAGCUCCCACCUGCAGUGCCAGGAGAUCCAUGUGGUGGCAUGGAGCCAACCUGGCCACUUGAAGGCAUGCGCCAGUGGGCUGCACUGGCUCCGUGCUGCCACAUGCAGCCCCCAGGACUCAGGUGGAGCCAUGCGCCAUGAGGGGCUCUGUCUGCAGUGGGCCCUGAGCACCCUGAGGGCCUCCUGCUGUCUGCUGUCACCAGCAGCGGGGACUGUGUACCAUGGAGAGUGGGGGGUCAUGUGUUGGGGCCUCCUUCACAAACCCACACACAUUCCAACACCUACACUCCCCCACAAACCCCACUCCCCUCCAUAAACCCCAUGCACUCACCCACAAACACCCAACUCCCCACAAACCCUCCACACACCCAUGAAUUCACGCACCGUCCACAAACCCCACACACUCCCAAACUCCACAGCCAUCCCCCCACACCUGUCCCCCACAAACCCCACAUCCCCCUGAGAGAAUUAAGAGUUGGAGAGAAAGAC
Alligator mississippiensis (American alligator) is the source of this 4275-nucleotide long non-coding RNA. RefSeq lists it as uncharacterized. NCBI's taxonomy places the organism in Eukaryota, Metazoa, Chordata, Crocodylia, Alligatoridae. The record is from RefSeq and is a predicted model, not a curated record. The transcript is spliced from 4 exons.